AAGGAAUAUUGCUCAAUGGGAGAAAUCCUGAAGCAGCAACGCCGCGUGGAGGAUGAAGGGUCUAUGACUUGUAAACUCCUGUAAAGAAGGAAAAAAUUCCCAUUAGAUGGAAGAUGAUGGUACUUCUGGAGUAAGCCCCGGCUAACUACGUGCCAGCAGCCGCGGUAAUACGUAGGGGGCAAGCGUUGUCCGGAUUUACUGGGUGUAAAGGGUGCUCAGGCGGAUUUGUAAGUCAGAGGUGAAAUCUUACAGCUUAACUGUGAAACUGCCUUUGAUACUGCAAGCCUAGAGUAUGGAAGAGAGUGAUGGAAUAUCUGGUGUAGCAGUGAAAUGCGUAGAUAUCAGAUAGAACACCAAUGGCGAAGGCAGUCACUUGGUCCAUUACUGACGCUAAAGCACGAAAGCGUGGGUAGCAAACA
This 419-nucleotide ribosomal RNA is filed under the name uncultured bacterium. RNAcentral's name for it is "bacterial SSU rRNA". It matches the Rfam family "Bacterial small subunit ribosomal RNA", at positions 356 to 774 of the family's 1533-position model. The record is from RNAcentral.